GCUCCAGCAAUCAAAACAGCAGGAUCUCAAGCCUGGGGUUCAACCCAAGCUCUGAAAGUGCAUAAUAGGACCAUCACACCUCCGUUUUGGCCAAGGUUCAUCAUCUUAUUGCUGAGGUUCCAGUGAUGAUAUACCAACUGCAGAAUCAAGGCAGGCAAUAAAACCAGUUAACAUAUUUCUCCAGGCAACUUCUGCCAUUUGCAUUGUAACAGAGAACAUUUGUGUGAGAAAUCUGUUCACUUCCAAGUUUAAUAAAAGACUCUCAAAUCAUUCUUGAUCUGCAAUUUGUCUUGGUAGCGUGAAUGAUUCCUUUACCUAGUGGCUGCAACACAGAGAUACAAACAGUUGGAUGAAAAGAACUCUAUCCAUCACUUUUUCCUAAUGUCUUUGGAGACAAAGUUAUGGGCAGAACAGUUAUUCAUAGACAAAGCAAUUUUUCCUGCCUUUCAUCCAGGAGCCAAGACUGAGAAGCCCAUCUUUGAACAGCUCUACAGUCACUUAUGUAAUUGUGUUAGACCAGCAAUUACAAAGCAACUGUUCAUGUUUUCAGAGUGCCUAGGCCUUUUGUAUUUGUCAGUUUAUUAAUAACUUCCAUUUACCUGUGCCACUUGCAUUGCACAAUGGUAAUGAUAACUGCUGUUUUUACAUCUUCCUCCCCCCACAGCCCCAACAGCAAUCAACCCUUCCAGCUAGAAUUCUUUAUGCUGACACACAAUAGAAAGGCCAGCCUCAUCUGCAUUAUAUAAAACCAGUGUAAGUAAUUUUUUAAUGCUUUGCUGUUCAGUCACUUGCUAGAAAGAGGAGGUAUCUAUAGGCCCAACCUCCCAUAAAGCAUUUUAGCAGUAAUGCUACAAUGCUUGUGAAAGUGAUACAGCAUGCCAGUACCAGCUUUAAAAUUGUUAGCACUGUUUAUCUGCAACUUCCCCUGACUUACAAGGCUUGCUGAGAAGUUUUUACCUUCCCUGUCCACAUCUUUGAAAAUCCCCAGUGCAGACACCAUUCCUGAUUGGUCUAAACAUGCCACACUGGAUUUUGCUUUCCUUUAUGCCUGUUUUUUUUUGUUUUUUGGGGGGUUUUUUAAUGUAACCAGAGCUGAUAGUACUGUUAUAUUUUGGAGCAUACCACUCUUCUAUAGAUUUCAAUAUUCAUUUAUUUUAUACAUUGUAAUUGGUCCUUCAAAGAAAAUUGCUUACCUUUACCCUCUUCCUCCACUGCAAUCAACCCACAAUGGCAUGGGAUACACAGAGAUGCAAAUGUGGGUUUUUACAUAAGACAUUUACUGUAUGUAGUACUGGUAGGUGAAUGAUGAGAGAAAGAAGGAAAAGUAUGCAUGACGCAGGUAGUUGUGUUCCAUUUUUACAUUUAAUUUAUCUGCUACUGUUGUAUCUGCUGUUGAAGUUCAUUUUACUGAUCAUAACUGGAGACCCCCUGAGUGAAAUCUAAAGUUAUAACUGAAAUUUCUCAUACUGAAAUAUAGUAACAUAGACUCACGUGGGGGGUGAAGCAAGAAUUUAAGUUUUGCUUCUUAUACUGACAUUUUCAUUCUGACAAGAUUUCAUUUUUGCUGUAGUGCAUCCAUAUCUGGAUCAGCUGAAUGUAGUUAAUACAAAACUCAUUAGAUUAUUAGAUCAUGUAUGAAUCUACAGGCAUGAUUAUUCUGAUACCUGGUAUUUGCAUGCUUCCCCUACCAGGUUAAUUAACUUUGCCCACUCCUAAAACUGAACAUUUGAUAUUACCUUAUAUUUGUAAUCUUUAUAAAAUUAUGACUACUGUCUCAUGAUACUCCACUAUCGGUUUCAAGCCACUGUUGCAUCAAAUGCAUCCUGAAGAUCUGUGAUCAAAAAAGUAAAACACACAUGGACUUGGAGCUAACACCAUAUAUUUGUAAGUAAAAUUAGUAAACAUGACAAAACAAGAUUACAAAUGAUGUAUCAAGCCCUUUCAAGAAUUUGAAAAAUACAAGAAAAAGAUUAAUUUUACACUUUAAAGCAACACCACAAUGGGGUAUGCAUAUUACCAAAACCACAGCUACUUUUAUAUGUUCCCAAAAGCAGUUUCAGAUGAAACGGUGAUAUUCCCUACCACCAGUACAACCACAGACACAGAUGUUAGUUUGGUUACAGCUUCAGGAAUCAGUGCAGUACAGUGCAAAUUUCAUUCACAGGUUACUAUGGAUUUUGAGUAGAUGCAAGACAAUACUACAGAAAUACAAGUAGAAAUUUAUAGAUUUCAUCUCAGGAAAAAAAGUGCUGAAAACUUAAGCAUACCAUACAAACAAACUGUAAAAGUACACAAAAGGAUGGAAUUCUGAAGCAAGACAAGUAAGUAUUAAUUGUGUAUGCGACAGCUUAAGAAAAAAGGAAGCUAAACUUAAUCAUUAGUACAGAUAUACACAAGGGAAUCUGAAUGAUUUUUUUCCCAAAAAUGUAAAUACAGUCUCCAUUUUAGAAAUAAAAAUAGUUUUACAAGUACUAAAAUUACAAAGCUAAGAUUUGUUGCUUGAAAAUGCUGUCUCUGAACAGUCAAUUUUUCCUCAAUUCUAUGUCAGCUUCCUGCCAAGGAAUAAGAAUACAAUAUAUUCUAGCUAUCCUUUUGAGUACAUACAACUGUUUAUUGCUUUUCUAGUAAUUCUGAAGAUUUCUCCUGGCCCUUACACUCUAAUCCAGAAAGUGUAUUCCCUGUUUAAAAAUAGUUCAAAGAAUGUCAACUUUAUUCUUUAGCACUUUUUAAAGAGGUUAUUUUUCAGUUGAAAACAAAAGACAGUAUUCUCUUACUCCAAUCUAAACCUAUUGUAACAAUUUUCACUUGAAGUAAUGUAUACAGACUGUUCAUGUAGUACGUCUCAUAUUAAUUGCAUUCAGAUAAUUGGGCACUGAAGUGAAGAUUAUAAAUCUAAAUAGCUUUAAUUUCUUUAAAAUAACUCUUAUAUUGUUACAAUGUACAGAUUGGGAGACUAGUGCAAUAUGCGGCAUGGAUUGUUUAUUCAAUAAAUACUUAACCCAAUUAUUGCCAGUCAAGGCAAACAGUGCAGAAAUUGUCACUUUAUAAACAAAGAUCUACAUACAAAUUCAACAAUCAUGUUUUUAUAAAAUCAGUUGAUA
Molecule: long non-coding RNA, 3101 nt
Organism: Alligator sinensis (Chinese alligator)
Lineage: Eukaryota; Metazoa; Chordata; Crocodylia; Alligatoridae
Exons: 2
Source: RefSeq, a predicted model, not a curated record